RNAcentral lists this ribosomal RNA (506 nucleotides) under Acinetobacter baumannii OIFC137. Its description in RNAcentral is "bacterial SSU rRNA". It matches the Rfam family "Bacterial small subunit ribosomal RNA", at positions 30 to 528 of the family's 1533-position model. Lineage: Bacteria; Pseudomonadati; Pseudomonadota; Gammaproteobacteria; Moraxellales; Moraxellaceae. The record is from RNAcentral.
AUUGAACGCUGGCGGCAGGCUUAACACAUGCAAGUCGAGCGGGGGAAGGUAGCUUGCUACCGGACCUAGCGGCGGACGGGUGAGUAAUGCUUAGGAAUCUGCCUAUUAGUGGGGGACAACAUCUCGAAAGGGAUGCUAAUACCGCAUACGUCCUACGGGAGAAAGCAGGGGAUCUUCGGACCUUGCGCUAAUAGAUGAGCCUAAGUCGGAUUAGCUAGUUGGUGGGGUAAAGGCCUACCAAGGCGACGAUCUGUAGCGGGUCUGAGAGGAUGAUCCGCCACACUGGGACUGAGACACGGCCCAGACUCCUACGGGAGGCAGCAGUGGGGAAUAUUGGACAAUGGGGGGAACCCUGAUCCAGCCAUGCCGCGUGUGUGAAGAAGGCCUUAUGGUUGUAAAGCACUUUAAGCGAGGAGGAGGCUACUUUAGUUAAUACCUAGAGAUAGUGGACGUUACUCGCAGAAUAAGCACCGGCUAACUCUGUGCCAGCAGCCGCGGUAAUACAG